CGCGAGACUGGCGGUGGUUCGAGUUGGAAAGAAAUUCUGUUUUUCGCGCGGCCAGACGUUAGAGGGAAGUGGCAGGAAGUGGAGGAUGCGUUUGAGCCUUGAAUUCAAAUGGUACCGGGGCGGUUGGCCGGAAGUGAAUCGUCUUGGAACGUGGAUUUAAAAAGAAAGGGAAAUGGGACACCGGCCGCUCCGAUUUAACUGUACAACAAAUUUUCGAUGGUAGGUACUUUUGUUACCUGACAAUCAAACAACGGAAAAUUGGAAGUAUGUGCCACGAAGCUCUCGAUGAAUGGAAUUGUAUGCCGGAAUUUUCAACGUGUCAAAGGAUAAAAAUCGAAUCCCAGGGAAAUAGCGAGCCCGUUGCAAGAGAAUUGGCCUCAUCGCUCAAUUAAAAGCUCGUAUAGACACGUUCACUAAUUUAGUCGAGUAGCUGGUAGCCUAAAUAACUUAAAUAUAACAUAAAUAAUAGCAUCAUUAUCAUCAUCAUGUUUAUUAUUAUUAUUUGUUAUUAUCGAGUACAACCCUGCUCGACCAAAAAAUCUAAUAAUUUGGAUUCCACCGAUCAAACACUUUUAUUAAGCUACUCUACCAAACUUUGAUGUUCACACGCGGCAAACUACUAAAUCACUCGCCAUUCGAAUAAAAUACUCUGCCUGUCCUUUACUCGAACGACGACGUGAAUUUUAUGAGACCUCCCACAUGCAGCGAUCCUCCUAGUGAAUUUUUAUCCGUAAUCGUUCACGCAGUACGGAUGUGGCGGUGUGCAUUUAGUUCGUCCCUUCCGUAAAUUUACGUCAACAUCCUCCAGACCAUGCGAAAUCUCUCCAUUGACGUCUCCAGAAUGAACGAGCUCGCCUUUCGUCAGCGUGAAUACCCUCCAUGCGCUAUUAAUUAAGGCCAACCCUCCUUCAACGAUUUUUAUUCAUGUUUCUGAAACUCUCCUUUGGAACGUCGAUCCCUCGUGACGAACUUUUUAAUGGUGAUGAAUUUCCAGAUUCUUCCUUGAGCUGUUUGAUGAAUUAUUUGAUAGAUGUGAUUAUUUGAUGAAAUAUUGGCUAAAUGACAAAAUGAAGUUGGAUGGACUCUUUAGUACCGUGUAAAAUUAAAUUCUAUUAA
Molecule: unclassified non-coding RNA, 1116 nt
Filed under: Bombus terrestris (buff-tailed bumblebee)
Lineage: Eukaryota; Metazoa; Arthropoda; Insecta; Hymenoptera; Apidae
Description: misc RNA ENSBTSG00005022938.1
Source: RNAcentral